Molecule: non-coding RNA, 489 nt
Filed under: Amazona aestiva (blue-fronted amazon)
Lineage: Eukaryota; Metazoa; Chordata; Aves; Psittaciformes; Psittacidae
Description: Eukaryotic small subunit ribosomal RNA
Rfam family: Eukaryotic small subunit ribosomal RNA
Source: Rfam by way of RNAcentral
GUACAAAAUCUCCUUAUGCAACUGGAGCUGAUUUCCAGUCAUGCUACAGCGUUAAAGGAAAUACAUAUUCACCUUCACAGGAAAAACAGCUCCCCAGCUCACAGUACAGCUUGGCACCUUUCCUAGCAGGCAACCUGGACUAGUGUUUCCCUUUAACACUUCAUGAAGCUGCUGACAGCUUGCUUGCAGGGGUGUUGUCUGACCUCUAAAAGGUCUUCUGGAGCAUGACUUUGGUUCUAUAUUGCUGGNUUUCAGAAGCGGGGUCAUGAUUCAGAGGGAUGGCCAGGCGCAUUCAUACUGUGCCGCUUGAGGUGAAAUCCUUGGACCAACACAAGGCAACCUAGAGUGAAAGCAUUUGCCAAGACUGUUUCAAUUAAUCAAGAACCAAUGUCAGAGGAUCGGAUACUGGGGUGGUUCCAACCACAAAUCAUGAGGACUGGCAACAGGAUUUUGUGGGGAGUCUCCGUCAUGCGAUCAGUCAUCGCGUUC